RNAcentral lists this RNase P RNA (383 nucleotides) under Pseudomonadota bacterium. RNAcentral's name for it is "Proteobacteria bacterium RNase P RNA component class A". It matches the Rfam family "Bacterial RNase P class A". From Rfam's summary of the family: Ribonuclease P (RNase P) is a ubiquitous endoribonuclease, found in archaea, bacteria and eukarya as well as chloroplasts and mitochondria. Its best characterised activity is the generation of mature 5'-ends of tRNAs by cleaving the 5'-leader elements of precursor-tRNAs. Cellular RNase Ps are ribonucleoproteins. RNAcentral also lists the same sequence under 1 other name. Lineage: Bacteria; Pseudomonadati; Pseudomonadota. The record is from RNAcentral.
AGGAGUGGGUGCAUGAUCGCUGGUCCUGUUCGGGUCAGAGGAAAGUCCGAACUCCGCAGGGCAAGGUGGUUCGUAAUGCGAACUGGGGGUGACCCCGAGGAAAGUGCCACAGAAAAUAUACCGCCAGGGCUCACGCCGUGGUAAGGGUGAAAUGGUGAGGUAAGAGCUUACCGCCUCCGUGGUGACACGGAGGGCAUGGCAAACCCCACCUGGAGCAACAUCAAAUAGGGAGACACUUGAGGGCGGCCCGCCCGAUGUCUUCGGGUAGAUCGCUUGAGGCGCCAGGUGACUGGCGUCCUAGAGAAAUGAUCAUGGCCUUCUCCGGCUACCUUUCGGGGUAGUACGGGAGGGUACAGAAUUCGGCUUAUAGCCCACUCCUUUUU